This 489-nucleotide ribosomal RNA is filed under the name uncultured eukaryote. RNAcentral describes it as "SSU rRNA". It matches the Rfam family "Eukaryotic small subunit ribosomal RNA", at positions 616 to 1107 of the family's 1831-position model. The record is from RNAcentral.
CAGUUAAAAAGCUCGUAGUCGGAUUUUGGGAUCACGCCGAACUGUCUGCCGAUUGGUAAGUACGGUUUGGCGGGUGCUUCCUUCCGGAGGCUCGUUCCCUUCUUCAUUGAAGGGUUCGUUGGUUCCGGGUCUUUUACUUUGAGAAAAUUAGAGUGUUCAAAGCAGGCCUAUGCUCUGAAUAGGUUAGCAUGGAAUAAUAGAAUAGGACUUUGGUUCUAUUUUGUUGGUUUCUAGGACCGAAGUAAUGAUUAAUAGGGACAGUUGGGGGCAUUCAUAUUCCAUUGUCAGAGGUGAAAUUCUUGGAUUAACGGAAGAUGAACUUCUGCGAAAGCAUCUGCCAAGGAUGUUUUCAUUGAUCAAGAACGAAAGUUAGGGGAUCGAAGACGAUCAGAUACCGUCGUAGUCUUAACCAUAAACUAUGCCGACUAGGGAUGUGGAGGCGUUAACUUUGUACGACCCCUCAUGCACCUUAUGAGAAAUCAAAGUCUA